GCGAGGUCCUUUCUCACUGGGUCCUCAGAGCUUCCCGGAGAGAAAUGGGGGGGGGGGCGCGAUAUGAAUAUAUGGAAGAGAGAAAGAAGACACUAAGUGAGACAGAAAAGCUGCUCCUGCCUGCUCCUUAGCGCAGAGUCCAGGCACGGGUGGCGGGUAGCUCUGCGUCCACCUCGCUGCUGUCUCUGGCCUUGCUUCUAGCCGCACCGGUAUUCAUGACUCAUCUCCUCUUUCCUUCCCCACCGCCUCCCCUCUGCUCUCAUCCACAGGUUGUUUUAUUUUAGAGAGCAUGGGUGUCCUCAGUGAGGGGUGUGCUAGAGGUUUUGUUCCUUCUAUUAGGAAUGGGAAAGCGGGGUCUCCAGGACUGGAAUAAGCAAGGAACAAGUGAGAGCGUUUCUUCGGGUAUUGUGAGGAUCUGAAUUGAGAACUAUUUAUUUGGUUCCUCAAACGCAUCCACCUUAUCUCCAUCGACACCGCGCAGCAACCACGCGCGCACUUAUACAGCCAGAGACUGCGAGGGCCCAGGGUCCAUGUGUGCGUCUCGGGACCACCGGGAGCUCUCCAGACUGACCCGGGCUGAUCCACAGAAGGAGCUGUGGUCGCCUCGACUUACGGCUCUGGGCGGAGAGGAUGCUGCGAUGUGAUUACUCGAUUGCUCCUACAUUCCUCUCACCACUAUGUGCCGUUGUCUCCAGAAUCCAAGCACAUGAGGCUGUCCCAUCCUGGACUUGAAGCUUCCAAACUCCCCACUUACACUGAUGUUCUUCAUGUGUUGGAUGCUGUUGUAAAGAUAUCAUGGAUCGUAUUCACUCCUGAGCACACACCCCUGAGCUGGAGCACAGUAUGAUUCUCAGUCCAUCUUUUAAACACUGCCCCUGCUGGUAAUGGAGAAGCAAACAGAAAAAACAAAUAUGUUCAGGAAGCACCCUUAGGGACUCAGACCCUGCUGCACUUUGCCAGGCCUCCCAGGUCUUCCUUUGCAAUCUUGGUGGAAGCCUCCAUGACCCGCUAACUCCAGCAGCCUGCCUUCUUGUAGAACCAGCACCACAUGGUUGACAGAAGCAGUAAGUAGCCCAGCCUCCAGAGACACUUGCUGCAGCAAAGAGGAGGCCUGCGAUGAAUGGCCACACAGAUUCUGGGGAGAGGGACUGCACACAGGCAGCUGUUGGCCAGUGGCAGCCAUGUGGCCAGGAAGGAAGGCCCCUGGGCAGGCUCUGGCCUCCAGGUAGCCCUGGUGCCCUCACCACCCGCCCCCCACCCGGCUCCUCCGAGGAUGGGGCAGCUGCUCUCCCCUGGGAAGAGCGACUCUGGAAAUUUCUCCCACCAAGAGGCCAAAGCCAGCGUUCCAGCUGCCAGCGAUGUGUCUCCACGAUGGCACUUUGGCGUAUGUGAUGACCAUAAACUGGAGAAUCCCAGCUUGUGCAGUUAAGAAGAUCGUAAAAGUAGGAACACAAGGUUCCAUGUGAACGCGAAGUCACUGCCAAGCAUACCAACAAGCCCCACUAAGCUAACUCCUCCCAAAUUCACAUGCCCAUCAACCACCUCCCCCAAAUGCUCUCAGCCACUCCACCAUCCCCAGACACAAGGGAAGUGGGAGAGGGGGUCAGAAUACAAGGCUAUGAGAUCAUAAUCUUAAUGGAUUACCGUUGAAACUUCUAACAGAUGCAAAUUUUGCAAACAAAUGAGCAUGUGAACAAGUUGGUAGGGCCCUCCCAAGCCUCAGAAGGGACUGCAAACGAAGGUUCUUUCAACCUAAGGUUUGGCGGCUUCGCUGGGAAGCUGCCUGUUCCCGUGGGGCUUACCUGGUCACUGUCAACAUCCGAGGCACUGGAUCCUGAUCACCUGGAUAGGGCACCUCCUCCAUGGAGCCUUCCCUGAUAAUCUCCAGGAGAGAGUCCCUAGGCCUUCUUAAAACUCUUUUAACCUUCUGCACUGCCCGGCUCCAUAGGUUGCAAACUGCCACAGGACAUGGACUGGCUGCCAUUCGCACAUGAGCACAGUCAGAGUCAACAGUACAACUGGGUCUCAAUUUAUAUGUGCAGCAGAAAUGAGAGGACAAGAGUGACCCCAGCUCACUGGCGUGCGGAGUUUAAAUAACCCCUACAACCUGCUUCAAGAAAAUUUAAUUGCAUCCCAGAACGUCAGUAAACAGACUGGUGUCGCAAUAAACAAUCUGGAAAAGAAAAAAAGAAAAAAGAAAAAAAGUGGUGUUGGCAGAAAACUUUGAUCAUAAUUUGCCUGACGGAACAAAACAGACAUGGCCUCUGCUUUGUCCUUGUGUGGAUUGGGGUUAUCACCAGUGUCGCGCUUCUGAAGUGCCUUUCUGUGCUAAAUACAGGGCUGGACCGUGGAAAAUCAAAAAACAAACUGGUAUUUGGAAAGCAAUCACUUUCCCCAGAGAAGAGAGGAGAGUACCGAGCGCCUAUUAUUUCAGACUUACUUCUGCUUCUCCAAGGCUUCCAAGGUAACAGAUGAAGAGAGGUCACCCACCUUUAGUCUCGCAGCAGCAAGAAAGCAACAGAAGCCUUCUCGCCAGGAAUCAGAAAGGGAAACCUGUUUGCUUUUAGAGUUUCUCGUCCUCCCAGAGAGAUGAAAGGGGAAUGAAAGGGAGUCACCCCUGUGGAAUCGCCAAAGUGAAAACGGGCCACUUUAUCCGGGCUCUUCAGAGCUCUUUAAGGCUGGAAGGGUCUGGAUUGAAAUCCGUAUAAUACGUUCAUUCACUAAGUCAAGAUUAAUAGCGUGGGUGUUGUGUCCUGGGGGAGCGCCUCCAGAAGGCAGUUGGAAAUAAACUUUGUCUUGCUUUGAAACACUUGGUCUGUAGCACGUAUCAGGAUUUUUUAAAAAAAUUUUAUUCCCUAAUAAAAAUUCUGUUAGCAUCAGAUUUAAAUUCCCUAAAUCUUUUCCUCCCUAUAGACGCGGUUCCCUGGAUCUCCUCUUUUCCAUUUCGACUGGGCAGGGUCUUGCUGUUUCUCCCCUCCCCAGCUUGUCGCUGCCGGUGGGUGGCAUUUUCAUCCCUUCUUAGCCACCCUGUAUUUAAUGUCACCUUAUUCUUCCAUGCUGCCCCGUGGGUUCCCUAACAAUACUUGAAAUCUCCGUAUUUAGGACCAGAAAUAAUCUAAGCUUACUUUUCUUCUCAAACAUAUUUCAAAAUAAAUUUGGAAGGAAAUCACUUUGAAUUACAGUGCAUUUGAUACAAAGCUGUGAACACCAACGUGGUGAUUUUAUUUGUUUUCUGCUUUGCCCUAGAGAACGGAAUAAAAUAAAACAUUAAAUAGGACCCAAACCACGAUUGCAAGAGUGUGGCUCUCUGCAGGUAGUGAGGCAAAGAAGUUUUCACUGGAAAGUUUAGUUCUCAGACCUACACGCUGCAAGGCUGUGGCACCCACUGCAUUUCCCAGGGACUCCUUCUAGGGGUACCUCCCCGCAAAAUGCUCAGAAAUUGUGUUUUCCUUUCUCUCUGUCUCUGCAUUCAAACCUGCUCAUGUUUGGUGGUUACUUUUUGCAUGUUGGGAAGAUUUUGCUUUUGAAAGACCCCCAUUUGAAAACAUGAGUUCAUCUUGAACCACCAGGGCCAUCAUACUGGUCUCGGUUUGGUAGUGCACUGGGUGACAAAUUCUGGAGACCGGGAAGCAACUUGAUACUCUACAAAGCCCACUGCAAAUUCUGUCUCUGGCAUUGCGUUUUCUACCUGGUUGGGU
Molecule: non-coding RNA, 3698 nt
Organism: Ictidomys tridecemlineatus (thirteen-lined ground squirrel)
Lineage: Eukaryota; Metazoa; Chordata; Mammalia; Rodentia; Sciuridae
Source: RefSeq, a predicted model, not a curated record